UGCCAGCCGCCGCGGUAACACGAACCGUACGAACGUUAUUCGGAAUCACUGGGCUUAAAGGGUGCGUAGGCGGCUAAGUAGGUUGGGUGUGAAAUCCCACGGCUCAACCGUGGAACUGCGCUCAAAACCCCUUAGCUUGAGGAAGGCAGAGGUGAGCGGAACUGAUGGUGGAGCGGUGAAAUGCGUUGAUAUCAUCAGGAACACCAGUGGCGAAGGCGGCUCACUGGGCCUUUUCUGACGCUGAGGCACGAAAGCUAGGGGAGCGAACGGGAUUAGAUA
RNAcentral lists this ribosomal RNA (279 nucleotides) under uncultured bacterium. RNAcentral's name for it is "partial 16S ribosomal RNA". It matches the Rfam family "Bacterial small subunit ribosomal RNA", at positions 506 to 784 of the family's 1533-position model. The record is from RNAcentral.